GACGAACGCUGGCGGCGUGCCUAAUACAAGCAAGUCGAGCGAAUUUUUGGGAGCUUGCUCCCAAAGGUUAGCGGCGGACGGGUGAGUAACACGUGGGCAACCUGCCUAUAAGACUGGGAUAACUUCGGGAAACCGGAGCUAAUACCGGAUAAUUCAUAUCUACUCAUGUAGGUAUGCUGAAAGACGGUUUACGCUGUCACUUAUAGAUGGGCCCGCGGCGCAUUAGCUAGUUGGUGAGGUAACGGCUAACCAAGGCAACGAUGCGUAGCCGACCUGAGAGGGUGAUCGGCCACACUGGGACUGAGACACGGCCCAGACUCCUGCGGGAGGCAGCAGUAGGGAAUCUUCCGCAAUGGACGAAAGUCUGACGGAGCAACGCCGCGUGAGUGAUGAAGGUUUUCGGAUCGUAAAACUCUGUUGUUAGGGAAGAACAAGUACUAGAGUAACUGCUAGUAUCUUGACGGUACCUAACCAGAAAGCCACGGCUAACUACGUGCCAGCCGCCGCCGUAA
Molecule: ribosomal RNA, 512 nt
Filed under: uncultured bacterium
Lineage: Bacteria
Description: partial 16S ribosomal RNA
Rfam family: Bacterial small subunit ribosomal RNA
Source: RNAcentral